This 502-nucleotide ribosomal RNA is filed under the name Salmonella enterica subsp. enterica serovar Oranienburg. RNAcentral's name for it is "bacterial LSU rRNA". It matches the Rfam family "Bacterial large subunit ribosomal RNA", at positions 488 to 890 of the family's 2925-position model. The record is from RNAcentral. Lineage: Bacteria; Pseudomonadati; Pseudomonadota; Gammaproteobacteria; Enterobacterales; Enterobacteriaceae.
UAGUGAACCAGUACCGUGAGGGAAAGGCGAAAAGAACCCCGGCGAGGGGAGUGAAAAAGAACCUGAAACCGUGUACGUACAAGCAGUGGGAGCCCCACCACCAAAGCAUUCUCUGGUGUUGAAGGCCCUGCAAAGCAGCAUCGCGGUGGCGGAGCGUCGUUUGCGACGCCCAACACACAAAACAAGCGGUGAGUGCUUUGGGGUGGGGUGACUGCGUACCUUUUGUAUAAUGGGUCAGCGACUUAUAUUCUGUAGCAAGGUUAACCGAAUAGGGGAGCCGGAGGGAAACCGAGUCUUAAUUGGGCGUUAAGUUGCAGGGUAUAGACCCGAAACCCGGUGAUCUAGCCAUGGGCAGGUUGAAGGUUGGGUAACACUAACUGGAGGACCGAACCGACUAAUGUUGAAAAAUUAGCGGAUGACCUGUGGCUGGGGGUGAAAGGCCAAUCAAACCGGGAGAUAGCUGGUUCUCCCCGAAAGCUAUUUAGGUAGCGCCUCGUGAAUU